GACGAACGCUGGCGGCGUGCUUAACACAUGCAAGUCGAACGGUGAAGGGGUCUGCUUUUGUGGGCCCUGGAUGAGUGGCGAACGGGUGAGUAACACGUGAGUAACCUGCCCCCUUCUUCUGGAUAACCGCAUGAAAGUGUGGCUAAUACGGGAUAUUCUGGGUCUGUCGCAUGAUGGGUCUGGGAAAGAUUGCGCCUUUGGGUGUUUUUGGUGGGGGAUGGGCUCGCGACCUAUCAGCUUGUUGGUGGGGUGAUGGCCUACCAAGGCGGUGACGGGUAGCCGGCCUGAGAGGGUGGACGGUCACACUGGGACUGAGACACGGCCCAGACUCCUACGGGAGGCAGCAGUGGGGAAUAUUGCACAAUGGGCGCAAGCCUGAUGCAGCGACGCCGCGUGAGGGAUGGAGGCCUUCGGGUUGUAAACCUCUUUCGCCAGUGAAGCAGGCCUGCUCCUUGUGGGUGGGUUGACGGUAGCUGGAUAAGAAGCGCCGGCUAACUACGUG
RNAcentral lists this ribosomal RNA (502 nucleotides) under uncultured bacterium. Its description in RNAcentral is "partial 16S ribosomal RNA". It matches the Rfam family "Bacterial small subunit ribosomal RNA", at positions 28 to 507 of the family's 1533-position model. The record is from RNAcentral.